UGUGAACCACCGAGGUGAGCGGACGGGUAGUCUAGGCUCGCGGAGGAUAUUAUUAGAAGUUUAUAUGUUAUGCUCUUGAGGCAACAAUCAAAAGUUUUUUGAGUGAGGAAUCAUUUCCAACAAAAAACGGGAGAAAAUAGAAACCCGCUGAUAAUCUCCACUUCAAAAUAC
RNAcentral lists this long non-coding RNA (171 nucleotides) under Penaeus japonicus. RNAcentral describes it as "uncharacterized LOC122257425, transcript variant X1". Lineage: Eukaryota; Metazoa; Arthropoda; Malacostraca; Decapoda; Penaeidae. The record is from RNAcentral.